CUGAAUUCAAAAGGAAGAGACGAAAACCUAUUCUAUCAUAUUUUGUAUUUUUUUUGGAUUUGCAGCAGUGACGAAACAAAAAGAGCUGAGUUUGCUUGUAUGUGUUUUUAUGACUUUAGGUAGGAUGAAAUCUCAAGCUAACGAGAUAAGCACAAAGCUGAAAACCUCCGCCCAUUUCCCUCAUUCUCACGACCUGUGUGCGUGCGUGUUUCGGAUUUUGUAUCUCGGUGGCUGUGUCCAAAAUGUUUUGUUGCAGCUAAUUUUGGUUCUCUUGGUCUGGGGUGUGCGGAAGGGGAAUAAGAUGGAGAAGGGGUCUUCAAUAGGUGUCGAAGAAGAUUAAGUUUCAGGUGAAAUCAUUUGUAUAUUGGUGUUCUUUGCUGAAGAAGAUGAGGAACAGGGGGAGGGGGGUCCUCAGGUCCUCAGUUGUGUAGCUCCUAUGAUAUCUCUCUA
This 450-nucleotide long non-coding RNA is filed under the name Nicotiana benthamiana. RNAcentral's name for it is "long non-coding RNA (NBEN_LNC033384)". Lineage: Eukaryota; Viridiplantae; Streptophyta; Magnoliopsida; Solanales; Solanaceae. The record is from RNAcentral.